UUGACCCAAAGUAUAUAAACUAGAUACUCCUAUUCAGGGUUGGUAGAUAAGAAUAAGUAAGUAUCUAAUUCCUUUUCUGGGUUGGGACAAUAGGAGUCUAAAACAUAGUUGCUAAGGUAGUUUUUCUGGGUUCCAAGUUCUAAUCCCUAUUCUGCGUUACAAAAUACAUGUAGGUAUUCUCUGGACUUUCUAAGUGUGCUCUAAAUUUGUAAAAGUAAUGAGUACUCCACACUUUGUAAGUAAUAAUAAAAACUAAAUGUUCCUGUUCUGGAAUAUUUUUUUCUGGAUUCUAAGUUUGUUCUAAUUCCUUUUCUGGGUUGCAAUAAUAGGAGUCUGUCUGAAUAAUAAUCUAAAUAUUAAUCUAAUAUUGAUCUAAAUAGUGAGUACUCUACAGUUUCUAAAAUAUAAGCUAAAGAGUGACUAAUAAACUAGAGUCUCUGAAUUCCAAGUUUGUUCUAAUUACUUUUCUGGGUUAAAAGUGAGUACUCCACAGUUUCUAACAAAAUAAAAUAAAAAAGAGGAAAGGACACAUUAGGGCAAAUAGCAACAUUCAGACAAAACAAAGGGCAAAACAAAGACAUGAGUGAAGGCGGUGACAUCACAGGGCCAUGAAACCACGUUGCUCAGCCUCCUGGCAGAAGUCAGAUAAGAUGUUGUUAUCGAGGAAUGUCCUUGGGAGCGCUCAGCUCCACAGCUGCAUGGAUAACAGAAGGGGGUGAGGUGGGAAGGAGCGUUAUGUUUACAUAUCUUCAAGGAGAUUGGAAAUAUGCAGCCCUUCCAAGGCAACACGGGGAAAGCCAAUUCAGAUACAGAAUGUCUUAGGUCAGAUAGAUUCUAAAUUUCAAUCUUCCCUAAAGUCUCUCCAAUACAUCUCAGUUCCCAAUCAUCCAAAUUAGUUUGGUCACUCCACCGAACCAAAACUAGCAACUUCUCCAAGAUCCAUUCCGUUAGUGAGUUUUGAGUCCUCAGCUGGGCUGCGAGUCUCAGCAAGGCUUGCAUCCAACUUGUGUCUCUGUCCACACCAACAGUCUGAGUGUUCGCUAGUUCGGCCAAGUCCAUCACAAAUUUGUCAAUAAGCCAGGCGUGUCCCCGCAGGACAAGAGGGCUCUCCUGUGCCCAGUCUUCUCGUCGAGAAAAUUUGAUCAAUUGCAUUGAGAGGCCGGUUGACCAGAUCCAUAAUUUGUAGAUCUGGAGGAUGUGCAAAGAAAGGCUCCAAAAAUAUAGAAAAAGACAGGACAAAAACAGAGCAAGGGAAACAGGGAGCAGAGGGGAAAAAAGCGUUCGUCUUUACCGAGAGCAAGAGAUAAAAAAAAAAAAACUAAUUUAUCAUGCGAUUAAUUGGUUAUUAUUUCUUAUUGUGACCGGCCUAUUUGUGAAUGUUUAAAUAAGCUAAACUAAUUAGGUGUUAGUUUCUAAUGGUUUAUCUUUGAACUGUGAAACAGUUCAAAAGGUCUGACAACUUUUUCAUGGUGGUAUUCAUCUCACGAGGACAACAUCUUCAACGCUGGUCGUCUGUCCAGCAAAACAAGCUUUUUUAUUCCAACUGAGCUCCUGGUUUCUCUAAUUAAAUUACUGGAGUCUGUAUGGGUCUGGUGUGCGUAACGACUAUCAGAUGAGAUAAGUUGGCUUUGAACAAUACAGUCAGUGUUUGCUACACUUCAGUGUGUAAUUAUAAUAGCCUGGUUGUAGCUAAGCGUUGUGCGUUUAUGAGGUUUUGGAGAAGCGGUGGUUUGCACACAAAAACAGGCCGAACAAAGAGGACGACCAGGUUUAAACCUUUGAUCAUUACGACGUCUAAAGUACAGGGCACCUGACUGCUAAAUGUUCAAAAACAUCUGGUUUGCAGAUGUGGGCAGGUACAAAGGAAGCAGAUUCCAGAAGGAUGCUGGUGGGACAGUGGAGAAUCAGAUAAAGACGUGGAGAACAGCAUCAAAGAAAGGAUUACAUUAAAGCAUCAACAGAAGAGACCCGAGCAUCAGAUCAUCAAACGCAUGUUGACUUUGCAUGUGUAGAGCUUUAGAUGGCACCCAGGAGGACGUGUUAGCUAAAAACGGGCUGAGAACUACCCUGGUACAGAUCACAACACUGGAGAUGCCCGAACGUCGCAUCUCCAUCUUUGGACUAAUACACGAGAGAUUAUAACGUUCACAGUAAGAUUAACUCUUCAACUCGUACGGAUUUAUACGCAGCUUUUAUCCCUACAUGAUUCCAAUCGUUCUGUUUCGCUGCUCUGUGUUUUCAUCUCACUCUUGUUUUAUUUAUAGAGCACGUUUCAUACGAUCAAAUGCGUCCCGAAAACAAUCAACAAUCACAUCAAAGAAUACCAACCAGGAAGUAAAAUUAUUAGGCAACUAGAAUAGAAAGUGUCAUUAACUGAGGGCACACAAUCUUAAUCAACAAAAAACAAAUACAUUCAUUAAAAUAGUUGAAAAUGCAGUGUGGUUUCUAUUCUCAGUCUUUACAUGAUAGUCCUAAUGCAAGUUGUUUUUGAAAGACUUCUCCUCUCAUCAAAAAGGAUUCAUCAGUUCAGUUCAGAACUGAUAGGAACUGAAACGUCUCUAAGAAACAAUCGAAAUUAAUUUACUGUAUGUUAUACAUGAAGUAGAAGGAAACUGACAUUAAGAACAAAUUAAAAAUGCAAAAGAAAAAAAGAUAUCUGAAAAUUUGAAAAAAAAAGUUAAUAAAGGUGGAAAAUAUAAAGAUUAAUCAAUAAAUCUCCUGUUCAGAUUGUAGAUCUGAACAGCAUACAGCUGUAGCUGAGUUUCAUUACAAAUGUGAGCAAAUCUUUGAGUUGUGCUGAUGUCGAAAAAAAAUAAAAAUUGCCAAUGAAAGUAAAAUCACGUGUUAAUAAGCUUGUUCUCGCGAUAAGUCAUUACAAAUCAUGUCAGGGACGGAUGU
Long non-coding RNA from Xiphophorus hellerii (green swordtail), 2898 nucleotides. RefSeq lists it as uncharacterized. NCBI's taxonomy places the organism in Eukaryota, Metazoa, Chordata, Actinopteri, Cyprinodontiformes, Poeciliidae. The record is from RefSeq and is a predicted model, not a curated record. The transcript has 2 exons.